Long non-coding RNA from Herpailurus yagouaroundi (jaguarundi), 1186 nucleotides. RefSeq lists it as uncharacterized. NCBI's taxonomy places the organism in Eukaryota, Metazoa, Chordata, Mammalia, Carnivora, Felidae. The record is from RefSeq and is a predicted model, not a curated record. The transcript is spliced from 2 exons.
AUGAGCUGUCAAGCCACAAAAAGACAUGGAAGGACCUUAAGUGACUAUAGCUAAGUGAAAGACGCUGACCUGAAAAGGCUAUAUACAGUAUGCUUCCAACUGCAUGACACUCUGGGAGAGGCAAAACUAUGGACAGUAAAAACAUAGGUGGUUGCCAGGGAUUGCUGGGAGGGGAGGGAUGAAUAGGUAUAGCAGGGGGGAUUUUUUAGAACAGUGGAACUAUCUUUCAUGAUGCUAGUGAUUGUGGAUACAUGGCAUUCUGCGUUGGUCAAAACCCAUAAAACUGUAGGAGUCUUACUGUAAAUUACAGGGUAUUAAUAACGUAUCAAUAUGCAUUCACCAAUUUUAACAAAUGUACCACACUAGGGCAAGGCGUGAAUGACGCGGAAACUGGGGCGGGGGGGCGGGGGGGUAAGGUGAGGGGGUAUAGGAGAACUCUCUGUACUUUCUGCCCAGUUUUUCUGUAAACCGGAAACUGCUCUAAGAAAUAAGGUCUGCAACAUACAUAUUUUUAAUGACAGCUGGUGGGGACUCCCUGGAUUGCAAAUCAGAGACCACGUGAUCUGUGUUCAAAGGACCCACCGAGGAGCCAGGGCGCCUUGCCCCUGCCCCGCAAUCGGUACCUUCCAGGACACUGCGACUGUCUUUCACUCAGGGGGCCUGCAGAACCUCAUCGUUCAGAGUGAUGCCCUGAGUGAUGAAGGUUCCCCUUCAUUUCCCACAGAGCUCGGUUCUUGUUUGAUUUUCCUCUACGGUGCGAAAGCAGUUAUCACUCAACCAUCUUGUCCCUUGGUUCUAAUACCGCCUUUAUUGCCUUAUUAUAAUCAGGAAAACAUUCUUAUUUUAAAAAGCUGUAUAUUCAAGUGAAAAUGUAUACGUAAGUAAAAGAAAGUAAAAUUAAAUAGAUCUAACGGGCAGAUCUGUAUUUUAGUAGACCUCCCCCCCAUCUCUCCCCAAAGUAAAAAACUCAAACUAUAUCUCCAAUCACCACAGCCCUAAAUGUACUGUUUGCAUUGUUAAAUGUCUAUGGAUUUAAAAAACAUAAAUAUUUUCAGAUUAAGCCCGGGAUGGUCAUAAUUAUCAAGGAUUGUUUGAAAUGUAUAUUUUCUAAAUCAUGGAGUUCCUUCCUUUACUGUGUGUGCUAUUAAAAAAAAAAAAAAAAAAGUUGUAGUUGAGAAUUAUAAUC